UACGUAGGGUGCGAGCGUUAAUCGGAAUUACUGGGCGUAAAGCGUGCGCAGGCGGCGCGUUAAGACAGGUGUGAAAGCCCCGAGCUUAACUUGGGAAUUGCGCUUGUGACUGGCGUGCUGGAGUGUGGCAGAGGGAGGUGGAAUUCCACGUGUAGCAGUGAAAUGCGUAGAUAUGCGGAGGAACACCGAUGGCGAAGGCAAUCCCCUGGGCCUGCACUGACGCUCAUGCACGAAAGCGUGGGGAGCAAACAGG
RNAcentral lists this ribosomal RNA (253 nucleotides) under uncultured bacterium. RNAcentral's name for it is "partial 16S ribosomal RNA". It matches the Rfam family "Bacterial small subunit ribosomal RNA", at positions 524 to 776 of the family's 1533-position model. The record is from RNAcentral.